GAUGAAGAACGUAGCGAAAUGCGAUACUUGGUGUGAAUUGCAGAAUCCCGUGAACCAUCGAGUCUUUGAACGCAAGUUGCGCCCGAAGCCUCGGCUAAGGGCACGUCUGCCUGGGCGUCACGCAUCGCGUCUCCCCCAAACCGCCAAGGCGGAGGGGAAGGAAGAUGGCUUCCCGUGCCUCACCCGGGCGCGGUUGGCCUAAAUUUGGAGCCCGCGGCACUUAGCUCUCGCGGCGAUAGGUGGUGAACAAGGCCUUGGCCGUACAAACAACCCGCUGCGAAGCUCUAUGUCACGUGCGCUCGUCGGACCCUUUGAAGUUGCCUUUGGUGACUUAAAACCUUUGCGACCCCAGGUCAGGCGGGGCUACCCGCUGAAUUUAAGCAUAUCAAUAAGCGGAGGA
RNAcentral lists this unclassified non-coding RNA (400 nucleotides) under soil metagenome. RNAcentral describes it as "partial contains 5.8S ribosomal RNA, internal transcribed spacer 2, and large subunit ribosomal RNA". The stretch from base 1 to 120 matches the Rfam family "5.8S ribosomal RNA", at positions 35 to 154 of the family's 154-position model. The record is from RNAcentral.